Molecule: non-coding RNA, 30 nt
Filed under: Rattus norvegicus (Norway rat)
Lineage: Eukaryota; Metazoa; Chordata; Mammalia; Rodentia; Muridae
Source: RNAcentral
UGCUGUCUCUCAAUACCUUAUCCAGGUGGA